UUGCGCCUGGAAGUUUGCAAAGAACAGGGGGAAGCUACGGCUUUAAUUACUGUUGUAAAUAAUGUAUAAAUCACGCCUGUCACUCCGGAGGAAGCGGGCUCGCGCGAGCAGCCCGGGGCUGGGGAUCCGGGGAUGGAGGAUCUCCGGCCCGGGCUUGGGCACCGGCCCCGCGCGCCCCCUCCUCCUGGCUCUCGGCUCCUGGCGGCGAUGGGGGGGGGGCUGGGGAGCGGCGAGUGGGGGCCCGGGAGCCGCUCCCUUCCUCUCGGUGUUACCGUUGGAGGUAGGAAUAUGGCUGAUCAUGUGCUGGCUGUUUUACAGUAUUCCCCCCCCCUUUAGCCACACCCCCUGUCCGGGCGCUUUCCCAUUCACGGAAUUCGAGUACAGUAAAAGCCAUCAGGAUGACACACACGAAAAACAUUUAAUUAAAGGCGAUUUCCGAGGAGUGAACACGCCGAACCGCGGUUUCAGCGGGAGGGGGUGCAGUAAGGGCCGGGAAGGGAGGAAGGGGGAUCAAGGCUGGGGGCCGGGUCCUGCCGCCAGCUCGGUGAGUUUGUGUGUGGAGAGCUUUUGGCUGCAAAGAGUAUAUUUAGACCCUGAGACGGUGGAUUUGGAAUGCGAGCGGGUUAUGUAACAGGGUUAAUCAGAAACACUGGAGAAAAUCCCCUUCAUGUGUUUUCUGAGUUUUUUUUUAAAGGGGGGGGUAACAUAGUAUAUAGGAAGCCACAUUAAUUUCUAGUUUGUGCUGUCACCCCCCUCUCUCUUAACCUCCCCCUUCCUGUGUGUUAUUAGCAUCUUCAGGUGUCAUUCUUGCCAGGAGGUGUUCUUGCAAGAGAUCAGGGUGGCAGGCUGCAGAACCGACUAACAAAUCCGUAACUUGCUGUUCUUGCAAAUUAUAUAACGCUGGGGCAUUCAGUACCACUAGCCCCCUAGGCUUAGCAAAAACGGGAGAGGGACAAAGUAGAGGUGGGAUGCAUCUUGCCCAGCUGACCUGUUGACCUUUGUCCCCUUGCCCCCUACAGAGUCACCCUCCACUCACUCUUCUUUGAACCAACCCGUGCCCAUCUCUCCAGAGAUUUACUAGGGGGAGGGAGAAGAGGUGACUUUACAAUCUCCAGACACAGACAUUUCUCUCAGAAGUGGAGUGAAGGAAGGAGAACCACAAGCUAAAGGCAAUGAAAAGAGGAAAAGUUGACACUUUGAGAAGUUAUGAUGAACUUGUCGAGAAUGCCAAUUGACAAAGGCAGGUAAGGGAAUACUUGGAAAAACAGAACAAGAACAGGUCUGAAGGGCAUGAUGAUCUGCUUCCUAGCGUGUUAAGGGAAUUGGCGGGCAUGUUUAUUGACUCUUCCAAUUAGUUUUAAAGAAACCUGAAGAAACGGACAAAGACGGAGGAAAGACAACCAGAUGUGAUUCUGCUCUUCCAGAAGCAGAGAGGCUUUUCUCAUCCCAUAUGAUCGAUGCCAGUCCUGGGGAAGACUCACUGUAUAGCAGUUAAUGGAUUUUCAACAUACCAAUCACAGAAGAAACAAGGGUAUAUUUAGCAAGUCUAAAAACUCUUCAAUAAACUGCAUUGCUUUUCAUUUUCACUGUACAGUCAUAAAGCCAGGGGAUGGUAAGAAGGCCAUGGUAAUGAUACAGCGUGUACUCCCAAGAACAUUUGUAUGAUGGGGAUAUUACGUCUGAAAGGACAGGGCAUCUGGGAGGAUGAACUGCCCAUAACUCUCAAUUGUCCAGGUAAUGAAGCAUUGGAAAGCAAACGCAAAUUAAAUACUUUGAUAAUCAAAAAUGAUUCUUCUUUUAGUGAUCAUAUUAGUUGACUGAUGGUGACAGGUAUGAAAUUGCGAGUUGCGUGUAGCCAUUUCUGGCACUCGUGGUCUAUUUCUGAUGAGCAUGUUGAUGUGGAACAUGGGAACCCAGACGGUUUCUAUAAACCGGGCUGUGAACCCAGAAGAUGUAAAAUUUUACAGCGUGAAGGACAAAGGUUGAAGAUUAGUGAGGCCCUAAAAUUUCUUGAGGCCUUACAGAUAAUCAGUUGGAGAACUGACGCUACACUGAGAGGCUCUAGCAAGUCCUAAAGCUCGUUUUUCUCACCUCGAGCUUGAGGGUGCUAGGUGUGUGCUAGGUGUGUGGUGCUCACUCACCAUGCUGGUGCUGGUGCUGUUUUAUUAGCCCAAGGCCUGUUGGACGCAGAAGCGGCCUUCUAAAUCAUCUAGCCUGGCCCUUGUCCUUUAAACUGAUGCUCACAGAGAUCUAAUAAUGUGUCUGAGUUCCCAUUCCUAGUAAGUGGCAAGACUGUGACAAGAGUAUGGGUCAUCUACUUUGUAGAAGUGUUCCAGUGUUCCUUGCCUUUGUGUGCUGUGCCGAGAUACUCGGAAAUUCCAGCAGGUACAGAAUCAAUUUCCUGAACCCCUUUCCCCGUCCUGCCAGGUAACCCCCCUGAGGAUAUUAUGAUGCAUACACAAGUUAAUCCAGCAUGAGGUAGUUGACAUCUCUGAAACUCAAUGCAUGUGACGUUGGUUGUGCGUCAGUAAUGGAGCAUUAUCAGUAAUUGUUAUGUUUUCAUAUCCCACUUUGAAUAUUAUAUAAAAAUUAGCUCACGAACUGGUGGCCAUGUCAGUAAAAGCAUUCUGAAGCAUAGUAAAAAUAGUGCCUGUAUCUUAUGCACUGCUGAUUCCGUAGAAAGUAAAAUAGAGGCUCUGGAAGGGAGCGUCUUGUCAUCGGUGCCAGCCUGAGCAGUUAUGCUCGCUAGAGCUGGAUGCAGCCAGAGGGUGGAAUGGAGAGGCUGGCUCUCAGCAACUGCCCUUUUUCCUCAAGGCAGAGGAAAGGCUGUGUCUUUUAUAAGAGAUGCUCAAGAGGAAGUCCACCCAUGGAAUACUAUGUAGCUAGUAAAAAUCCUAUUCCAGUAGAAAAGUAUCUCUUGAUAGGGGAAAAUGUUUGUCAUCUAUUAGUGAAAAGUAAUAACCUUCAUAGCAGUGUGCCCAGAAUGACAUCAUUUUUGUAAAAAACUAUAGUGUGUGUAUUAAUAUGGACCAACGUACACCUUAAUAAUGAAAUGAUAAAAUGGUUAUUUUUAGUGUGAGUUUCUCUUUUUUUUGUGCCCUUCUGUAUUUUUUA
Nyctereutes procyonoides (raccoon dog) is the source of this 3114-nucleotide long non-coding RNA. RefSeq lists it as uncharacterized. NCBI's taxonomy places the organism in Eukaryota, Metazoa, Chordata, Mammalia, Carnivora, Canidae. The record is from RefSeq and is a predicted model, not a curated record. The transcript is spliced from 3 exons.